CGCUAUCACUCCUACGGGAGGCAGCAGUGGGGAAUAUUGCACAAUGGGCGCAAGCCUGAACCAGCCAUGCCGCGUGCAGGAAGAAUGCCCUAUGGGUUGUAAACUGCUUUAUUUGGGAAGAAACCUCUUUACGUGUAGAGAGCUGACGGUACCAAACGAAUAAGCACCGGCUAACUCCGUGCCAGCAGCCGCGGUAAUACGGAGGGUGCAAGCGUUAUCCGGAAUCAUUGGGUUUAAAGGGUCCGCAGGCGGGCUUAUAAGUCAGUGGUGAAAUCUCUCGGCUCAACCGAGAAACUGCCAUUGAUACUGUAGGUCUUGAAUUCGGUCGAAGUGGGCGGAAUGAGUAGUGUAGCGGUGAAAUGCAUAGAUAUUACUCAGAACACCGAUAGCGAAGGCAGCUCACUAGGCCUGGAUUGACGCUGAGGGACGAAAGCGUGGGGAGUGAACAGGAUUAGAUACCCUGGUAG
Molecule: ribosomal RNA, 467 nt
Filed under: uncultured bacterium
Lineage: Bacteria
Description: bacterial SSU rRNA
Rfam family: Bacterial small subunit ribosomal RNA
Source: RNAcentral